UUUGGGAAUAUGCUCAGCCGUGUUCACUCAUUCAUAGAACUGGAAGUGCAACACAGAGUUAACUUCCUUGGGUUAACUCUUGUCUAAUGAGAGACAGAAGCUGGUAGACAAAUAUUUCUUUCUUCACUGUCUUGCCCUGACAGCCCUGAAGGGCACUCUACAUGGUUUUUUAGAGGACUCCAGUAGGACCCAGCCACAAUGGCCUAUGGAACUGACAGCCUUCCUGGAGAGAUGACGCUUUCUUGAACUGGAGGAAUCAAUUAGUGACAUAUGCAAGAGAAGAGAGCAUGCCACACUUUGGGAGCAGCACGAGUUGAACCAAAGCACAGAGCUAUUGUUCUGGAAAGCACUCCCUAAUAGACAACCUGCAUGCAAGUAUCUGCCUCAGAGUUCAUUUUCUACACAAUUGGGCCUAAGGUCACACACGUUGUUCUGAAGAUGCUUUAAUGUUCUCCACGUGUAGUUGAUGGACGACUGAAGAUUAUCCUUGGAAUCGAGCAUCUCUUCCUAGGGUUUUAGGAUAGCUGACCUGACUUUGACGUGGCCAUCUCCAAAGCAUUUUUCUGACUGAGAGCCACAGGCCCUCAACAUCAACGUAAUUUGGAUACACUCAAGAAUCCACAGGCUUCACUCUGGAGAUGAAGGGACUUAAACCACAUAUGGAAAGAGAGCAACUGUUGCUUCAAGUAAACAGAUGGAACUGUG
This 705-nucleotide long non-coding RNA is filed under the name Equus asinus (donkey). RNAcentral's name for it is "lncRNA (ENSEASG00005035035.1)". The record is from RNAcentral. Lineage: Eukaryota; Metazoa; Chordata; Mammalia; Perissodactyla; Equidae.